RNAcentral lists this small RNA (107 nucleotides) under Rhizobium sp. BK619. RNAcentral describes it as "sRNA Atu_At1". It matches the Rfam family "Rhizobiales sRNA Atu_At1". Lineage: Bacteria; Pseudomonadati; Pseudomonadota; Alphaproteobacteria; Hyphomicrobiales; Rhizobiaceae. The record is from RNAcentral.
GCGCGGGCCGUGUCAAACGGACGCGACAGGGAUGGUGAACAUCGCGAUUUUUCCGUUUUCUCGCGAUGGCAACGAAACGGCAGACGAGCGCCCCACCUGUCCGGCAU